GCGACGGGUGAGUAAUAUAUCGGAACGUGCCCUAGAGUGGGGGAUAACUAGUCGAAAGAUUAGCUAAUACCGCAUACGAUCUAAGGAUGAAAGUGGGGGAUCGCAAGACCUCAUGCUCGUGGAGCGGCCGAUAUCUGAUUAGCUAGUUGGUGGGGUAAAAGCUCACCAAGGCGACGAUCAGUAGCUGGUCUGAGAGGACGACCAGCCACACUGGAACUGAGACACGGUCCAGACUCCUACGGGAGGCAGCAGUGGGGAAUUUUGGACAAUGGGGGCAACCCUGAUCCAGCAAUGCCGCGUGAGUGAAGAAGGCCUUCGGGUUGUAAAGCUCUUUUGUCAGGGAAGAAACGGUGGGAGCUAAUAUCUCUUGCUAAUGACGGUACCUGAAGAAUAAGCACCGGCUAACUACGUGCCAGCAGCCGCGGUAAUACGUAGGGUGCAAGCGUUAAUCGGAAUUACUGGGCGUAAAGCGUGCGCAGGCGGUUAUGUAAGACAGAUGUGAAAUCCCCGGGCUCAACCUGGGAAUUGCAUUUGUGACUGCAUGGCUAGAGUGUGUCAGAGGGGGGUAGAAUUCCACGUGUAGCAGUGAAAUGCGUAGAUAUGUGGAGG
Molecule: ribosomal RNA, 609 nt
Filed under: Herbaspirillum sp. EECC-319
Lineage: Bacteria; Pseudomonadati; Pseudomonadota; Betaproteobacteria; Burkholderiales; Oxalobacteraceae
Description: bacterial SSU rRNA
Rfam family: Bacterial small subunit ribosomal RNA
Source: RNAcentral